RNAcentral lists this long non-coding RNA (543 nucleotides) under Homo sapiens (human). RNAcentral's name for it is "HSALNT0122560". Lineage: Eukaryota; Metazoa; Chordata; Mammalia; Primates; Hominidae. The record is from RNAcentral.
UAUUUAAUAAUAAGUUUCAGAGAAGAAAGAAGGGCAGAACCAUUCAAGGAAGUGGUAAGGUAUGACUUAGUAAAAUUUUCCUCUCAUAUAGGAAAAGCAGGUUGUAAAAAAUCUCCCCUUUUGACCUUAGGAAGUGUAGGAAAGAAAACACAAAAUUUUGAGGAAGCAAUUGAUGAAACAUAUGUGUCUUGAUCAUUUCUUCCUUCACUAAAGUCUGCUUGGGUGUUAGAGACCACUGCACAAGUUACCUCUGAACCAAAUCAUGGAGGGCAAAUUUUUCAGCAAGAGCGGAGGAAUGGGCUUUGAUAGCAGAACCUAAGAUUCAUCAUGAUGUUUAUAUCUAAACUUCCUACAGGCCCCAAGCCGUCAUACGGAUGGCGGUUGAUCAUCUGCCGAAAGAGCCCUAUAUCCAUGUACCUAUGGUAGACAGGAUUCUAUGAUAGGACCCCUAGCGAGUCAUGCCUCUGCAUAGUACCCUGCCCAUGAGUGUGGAUGGAGCCUGAAAUUUGCUUUUAGACAGUAGAGGGUGGUAAAGGUGAUGAG